UGCUAGUCGUACGAGUUCAUACUCGUGGCGAAUAGCUCAGUAACACGUGGCCAAACUACCCUUCGGACCGUCAUACCCUCGGGAAACUGAGGUUAAUAACGGAUACCACAGUCCAGCUGGAAUGAGGACUGUGCCAAACGCCCCGGCGCCGAAGGAUGUGGCUGCGGCCGAUUAGGUAGACGGUGGGGUAACGGCCCACCGUGCCAAUAAUCGGUACGGGUCAUGAGAGUGAGAACCCGGAGACGGAAUCUGAGACAAGAUUCCGGGCCCUACGGGGCGCAGCAGGCGCGAAACCUUUACACUGCACGCCAGUGCGAUAAGGGAAUCCCAAGUGCGUAGGCAUAGAGCCUACGCUUUUGUCCACCGUAGGGAGGUGGACGAAUAAGGGCUGGGCAAGACCGGUGCCAGCCGCCGCGGUAAUACCGGCAGCCCGAGUGAUGGCCGAUCUUAUUGGGCCUAAAGCGUCCGUAGCUGGCCGCACAAGUCCAUCGGAAAAUCCACCCGCUCAACGGGUGGGCGUCCGGUGGAAACUGUGUGGCUUGGGACCGGAAGGCGCGACGGGUACGUCCGGGGUAGGAGUGAAAUCCCGUAAUCCUGGACGGACCGCCGAUGGCGAAAGCACGUCGCGAGAACGGAUCCGACAGUGAGGGACGAAAGCUAGGGUCUCGAACCGGAUUAGAUACCCGGGUAGUCCUAGCCGUAAACAAUGCCUGCUAGGUGUGGCUCCCACUACGAGUGGGUGCUGUGCCGUAGGGAAGCCGCUAAGCAGGCCGCCUGGGAAGUACGUCCGCAAGGAUGAAACU
RNAcentral lists this ribosomal RNA (803 nucleotides) under Halorubrum sp. IMCC2607. RNAcentral's name for it is "bacterial SSU rRNA". It matches the Rfam family "Archaeal small subunit ribosomal RNA", at positions 52 to 856 of the family's 1478-position model. The record is from RNAcentral. Lineage: Archaea; Methanobacteriati; Methanobacteriota; Halobacteria; Halobacteriales; Haloferacaceae.